CGAGGUAGAGCAAAUCUCAAAAAGACAUCUCAGUUCAGAUUGCAGGCUGCAACUCGCCUGCAUGAAGUCGGAAUUGCUAGUAAUCGCAGAUCAGCAUGCUGCGGUGAAUACGUUCCCGGGCCUUGUACACACCGCCCGUCACACCAUGGGAGUCGGUAACACCCGAAGUCGGUAGCCUAACCGUAAGGAGGGCGCCGCCGAAGGUGGGAUUGAUGACUGGGGUGAAGUCGUAACAAGGUAUC
This 242-nucleotide ribosomal RNA is filed under the name uncultured bacterium. Its description in RNAcentral is "partial 16S ribosomal RNA". It matches the Rfam family "Bacterial small subunit ribosomal RNA", at positions 1258 to 1500 of the family's 1533-position model. The record is from RNAcentral.